GUGGGGAAUUUUGGACAAUGGGCGCAAGCCUGAUCCAGCCAUUCCGCGUGCAGGAUGAAGGCCUUCGGGUUGUAAACUGCUUUUGUACGGAACGAAAAGCCUCUGGUUAAUACCCGGGGGUCAUGACGGUACCGUAAGAAUAAGCACCGGCUAACUACGUGCCAGCAGCCGCGGUAAUACGUAGGGUGCGAGCGUUAAUCGGAAUUACUGGGCGUAAAGCGUGCGCAGGCGGUGAUGUAAGACAGUUGUGAAAUCCCCGGGCUCAACCUGGGAACUGCAUCUGUGACUGCAUUGCUGGAGUGCGGCAGAGGGGGAUGGAAUUCCGCGUGUAGCAGUGAAAUGCGUAGAUAUGCGGAGGAACACCGAUGGCGAAGGCAAUCCCCUGGGCCUGCACUGACGCUCAUGCACGAAAGCGUGGGGAGCAAACAGGAUUAGAAACCCUGGUAGUC
Molecule: ribosomal RNA, 449 nt
Filed under: uncultured bacterium
Lineage: Bacteria
Description: partial 16S ribosomal RNA
Rfam family: Bacterial small subunit ribosomal RNA
Source: RNAcentral